AGGGUUUGAUCCUGGCUCAGAACGAACGCUGGUGGCGUGCUUAACACAUGCAAGUCGAACGAGAAAGUUUCCUUCGGGAAAUUAGUAAAGUGGCGCAAGGGUGAGUAUCACGUGAAUAAUCUGCCCUCGAGAUCGGGAUAACAUGGUGAAAACUAUGCUAAUACCGGAUAAGACCACAUUUCAUAAGAAAUGCGGUAAAAGGAGUCUCAAUCUUCACUCGAGGAUGAGUUCGCGCAACAUUAGCUUGUUGGUGGGAUAAAAGCUCACCAAGGCUACGAUGUUUAGCCGGCCUGAGAGGGUGAUCGGCCACACUGGAACUGAGACACGGUCCAGACUCCUACGGGAGGCAGCAGUGGGGAAUAUUGCGCAAUGGGCGAAAGCCUGACGCAGCAACGCCGUGUGAGCGAUGAAGGCUUUAGGGUCGUAAAGCUCUGUCAAAUGGGAAGAAUUUUGACGGUACCAUUAGAGGAAGCCCCGGCUAACUCCGUGCCAGCAGCCGCGGUAAUACGGAGGGGGCAAGCGUUGUUCGGAAUUAUUGGGCGUAAAGCGUAUGUAGGCGGUUAAACAAGUCAGGCGUGCAAGCCCGUGGCUCAACCACGGAAUUGCGUUUGAAACUGUUUAACUUGAGUACAGGAGAGGAAAGCGGAAUUCCCAGUGUAGCGGUGAAAUGCAUUGAUAUUG
Molecule: ribosomal RNA, 681 nt
Filed under: uncultured bacterium
Lineage: Bacteria
Description: bacterial SSU rRNA
Rfam family: Bacterial small subunit ribosomal RNA
Source: RNAcentral